CACACACACACACAGACAAGCGCACACACCUUCCAGCAAACUCGAGCGCGAUGACGUAACUGAGUGAAUGGGCGUGCGGCGUGUCAGCUAAUUUCCAUGACGCAGUAGAUUUCGGUGACCUUGCCGUCUGAUGAUGAAAUCAGCUUUGAAGAACCCCCACAGCGUCCGUCUGACUCACGCAGGAUGCAGGUGGAGAAGAUCGAACAGGGUCUGGUGUAACUCAGAACUUUAAGUGUCACUUCCUUCUGAAAACAUCACGUUACCGGCGACUGAAUGUGAAGUUCAGUAAAAUAAAUAUUAUUUUACUCUUUCUUUUUGUCCUUAUAAAAGAAAAGCUACCACUGAAAUGUUUUGAUGAACAUGCUCACAGACGGAUUGUAGUAAUGAGGUAGCUCUUCAGUAAUGUUCUGGUGAUACAGUAUAUCUGGUAUAUAGUGGUACUGAAACAGCAGUGUUUUCAAGCUGUGAGGAAACACCCUGACACGUGAGAAGCAGGAAGGCAGUAUGUCUGGUGUAAUAUCUGUGUGUGUGUGUGUGUAUGUGUGUGUAUGUAUGUGUGUGUGUGUGUGUGUGUGUGUGUAUGUGUGUGUGUGUAUGUGUGUGUAUGUGUGUGUAAAAUUGUGUACAAGCUCUUUAUAUAAUGAAUAGAAUUCAUUACAUCAUGAUUUCUCAGAUAUAGAACAAGAAGGUAUCUACAUGCAGAUUUAAAUAGCCGUCCACCCUUAUACACUUCAUAUUAUUAUAACGUUUAUUUUUUUACACAAAUGUUUUAUACAUCUGUUUUAGGCACUAUAUUUCCCACUGUUGUUGUUUUCGAAUCAUGCCUGCAAGGAGCAUUGUAACUCUGAAAGGACAGAAGCUCAGUCAUGUUUGAAGGAGUGUAGAACUCGAUGCUGGUUCUGCGUGCACUGUGUUUAAAUAAAGCUCAGGCGUUUCACCCCUA
Long non-coding RNA from Ictalurus furcatus (blue catfish), 943 nucleotides. RefSeq lists it as uncharacterized. The transcript is spliced from 2 exons. The record is from RefSeq and is a predicted model, not a curated record. NCBI's taxonomy places the organism in Eukaryota, Metazoa, Chordata, Actinopteri, Siluriformes, Ictaluridae.